This 303-nucleotide ribosomal RNA is filed under the name uncultured bacterium. RNAcentral's name for it is "partial 16S ribosomal RNA". It matches the Rfam family "Bacterial small subunit ribosomal RNA", at positions 507 to 809 of the family's 1533-position model. The record is from RNAcentral.
AGCAGUCGCCACGGUAAUACGUAGGGUGCAAGCGUUAAUCGGAAUUACUGGGCGUAAAGCGUGCGCAGGCGGUUAUAUAAGACAGAUGUGAAAUCCCCGGGCUCAACCUGGGAACUGCAUUUGUGACUGUAUAGCUAGAGUACGGCAGAGGGGGAUGGAAUUCCGCGUGUAGCAGUGAAAUGCGUAGAUAUGCGGAGGAACACCGAUGGCGAAGGCAAUCCCCUGGGCCUGUACUGACGCUCAUGCACGAAAGCGUGGGGAGCAAACAGGAUUAGAUACCUCGGUAGUCCCUGUCUCUUAUCC